GCUAAGGAUUAUACUGCAGUAGAACAAACUAUGGAAGCAUUCACGAAUAUUACAUACAGCCACCAGGUGGAUGAUCUCUCAAGGAUGUAUAGGCUAUUUUGUAGAAUAACUAGAGGCUUAGAUCCCGUUUCUCAAAUAUUUAAGCAGCAUGUUCCUACUGAAGGAACCACCCUGGUUAAACAAGUAGAAGAUGCAGCAC
Molecule: long non-coding RNA, 199 nt
Organism: Magnolia sinica
Lineage: Eukaryota; Viridiplantae; Streptophyta; Magnoliopsida; Magnoliales; Magnoliaceae
Exons: 3
Source: RefSeq, a predicted model, not a curated record